GAUUCAUUAAACAAAGUAAAAACUUUGUCCUUAGGAAGUUCAUAAGUAUAUUUGGCUAGCCAUUGCUAUUUGGAAACUUUUUGAAUGUUGAUGGCAGUAAUGGGACAGAAAUUAAUCAGUUGGGGCUGGUUUUAAGAAAUGACUUCAGUCCCUAAGUGGUUUGCCAAGUUUCUGUUAAACAUCUCACAUUAUUGAAGAUACAAGUCAAAAUCACUUAUCAGCAGUUCUUCUAAAUAGCAAGGAACAUGUAUUAAAGAGGCCAUGAAGGAAUUUCUAAUGAGAAAAAAUGCUCUUACUUUUUGAGAAAUUAACUGCUCCAAUAAAUUGCAAAGAUAAAAUAGGAAAAGUUAUCACAAUAAUGUCUGUUGUAAUAAAACUAAACUAUACAGCUGAUAACAGUUAAAAUGCCAGAAGGUAAGUUAAUGACAUACCUUUCCCUAAAAGCCCCUUUGGUCCUUACUCUGAAAUGUAAUUCUGACUCAUAUAUGAAAGAUAUGGUAGAAGCUACAUGGAAAUACUGCUUAUGUACAUGUACAGAUUCAUUGCCUAGGAACUUUUGAACAUAUAUAAAAUUUACAAAGCAGAAUAUAUUAAAUGAAACCUUCAGAAAAGUGAAAUAAAAUAAUCCCAGGACCUAAAAUUGAUUCUCGAAAUCUAAAAGAGAUGAAAGUCUUUGGAGAGAGAAAUCAGUCUGAAGUGCUUGCUGGCAUUGGAAAAUUCUAUCAAAGAUCCUGGGAACAGGGUCAAAGAUGGAGUCAUUGAAACCUCCCUAACACUCUCUAUGGGUUUUUGACUGUAGGAGAGGCCUGAAAUAAUUUUCUGCAGUCAUAUUCUCAGACAAGGUAUCAAUUGUAGCAAUGCAGAGGAACUAAUAAGAAUAAUGGGAAAAAGAAAACAAACAGAAAUAACAGGUAGAAAUUAGAAAGUAAUCUGAUGUGGACUUUCUCAUACCUAGUGAUGUCCAAACCAGCAAUGAAUGCAGAAAGUGUGUAUGUGGUAUGUGUGGCUGUGGUGGGGUGAGUGUAGGGAGAGAAAGAGGGGAGUCAGGGAGACAAAGAAGAGGAAGGGGAAGAUCAAAGUUGAAUGAGCAUCAGAAAGCCAAAGAUACCAUAUGCACACAUCCUCAGACACUGAGGCUGAAAAACUCAGAGUCAGCUUCUUGCUUUAAUAAACAGAGCCAUCUUGCUUUACCUUGAGUACCAAAGAAGACAGGCAGGUGCCCUAUGUACACAUUCACAUUCUGACUAACUAAGUAAAAACACAACCAAAGUAGUGAUACAAUUAUCCAACAAAGAAAGAAAACCGAAAUCUGCCAAAACUCUGUUUUAAAAAAAGGGCAUGAAGAAAUAGUGCAUACCAUGACAGAAACAAACCUUUCUGCUCCAAGCCAUCUGUGCCACCCUUCAGCUGGUAAUAAUGUGAUUCUGAGUAGCAAUAGAAGCAAUCAAAAGAAGAGCAUUAAGAAGGCAUGGCAGCAUUAAUAGAUUCUCUUCUGGGUUUCUGGUCUUUGUUUAUGGAUAAUUAUAAUUUGGCAAUGUGUUCAGAGGCCCAUCACAUGAAUGUAUCCCUUGUGUUUUAUUUAAGAAACAGCUCACAAAAGACUUACUUCAGUUUACCACCAUGCCAACUAAAAGCCUGCUGAAAGAGAAAACCUCAAAGUGAUGUAUGAAUUUAAAGUUGUGAAUUAAUGUAAGGAAUUACAGAAAAUUCUCCAACCAGAUUUUUAGAAAAGCAUAUUUAAUGGUUACCUACCCAGUAAAGGCAAAUUUGGCUGUUUUAUUUACAUUUAGAACAAAAUAAUUCCAUUAGUCAACGUUCUUCUAUUUCUCCCUCCCCCUGUCCUUCCCAAGUUGUAGUAGUCAUUCGUCAACUCUCUAUUUAACUGAAGUAAUUUUUAAAAUUUCUACAUAUGUGUGAGAACAUGUAGUAUUUCUUUCCUGUCCCUGGCUUACUUUAUUUAGCAAAAUGUUCUCCAGGAUCAUCCAUUUUACUUCAAAUAACAAGAUUUUAUUCAUCUUAAUGACUAAAUAAUAUUCCAUGUGUAUUUUUAUAUGUGUGUUUGUGUGUGUAUGUGUGUCUGUACACUUUCCUUAUUCAUUUAUCAGUUGAUAUAUGCUUAGAAUUUUUUAAUCUUGAUUGUUGCAAAUAGUACUGCAAUAAACAUUAGGGUGCAGAUAAAUUUAUGACAUACUGAUUUCCUUUCCUUUGGAUAUAUACAUACUAGUGUAGUAACUAAAUAACUAAAUCAUAAGGCAGUUUUUUUUUUUUUUUCUUUUUGAGGAACAUCCAUAGUGUUUCCAUAAUGGCUUUACUAAUUUAAAUUUCCACCAGCAGUGUGAAAGAACUUCAGUCUGCAUCGUUGCAAGCAUUUGCUGUUUUCCAGUCUUUUCAUUUAUAGCCAUUCUACUUUGGAGUGAGAGGAGAAAGUUUCCUAUACAGAGAAAUUAAAGUCAAGAUUCUCUGGGUCUCACAGAUAAGCAGCACAGUGUUGAAAAAGGGACAUUAAGACGUGAGCAUUGAACAGCAACUAUUCCAGCAUCUCGGAAUGUGUUCCAUCACAGUAGCGUAUUACCAGAAAGAAGACCAGGAAUGCAGAAAAAGUGGGGUUUUCAUCAAGAGAAGAAAGAAUCAACCUCAGCAUGCCAGCAGCACUGCAGGCCUGAGAUACAGUGAGAGAAGAAUGGCAUAGAAUGUGGACCUUUAGGAACAACGCCCCCAUGGGAAUGGAGAAACAAGUAGGUGAUCAAAAUUAAUACGUGGACAUAGAAACUUACAUGAAUGCUCAUUGAAGAAAAUCAUUUAAAUCUGAGAAAAAUAUUGCACUGCAAAGGUACUUGAAAUAUAGUGAUUUACUUGGUUCAAGAAUGAAAUAGAAUUCCUUAGACGAUGGAAUACAAACAUUGAAAAUUGCCUUAUUUGAACAAUUUCAAUAUAACCAUACUUAGUGAAUGAAAGAAUGUGAAGGAGGUGGUGAGGACAUUUGGAUAUUAGGCCUCGAUAUUUCAUCAGAGGAAAAUAAUGAAAAAUGUCUAAAAUUAAUGUGACAUAAAGACUGGCAUUUUACUAGAAUUCAAAGGGAAAAAUGGAGGUCUUCUCUUGUUUGCACUUGUUUAAGUCUUACACCGUUGACCUGUUAAAACUAAUGCACAGGCAUUAUGAUGAUAAGAAUACUUAUUUUUUCUUUUUUUAAAAGCCAGAGAGACACAGA
Tupaia belangeri chinensis (Chinese tree shrew) is the source of this 3208-nucleotide long non-coding RNA. RefSeq lists it as uncharacterized. The record is from RefSeq and is a predicted model, not a curated record. The transcript is spliced from 3 exons. NCBI's taxonomy places the organism in Eukaryota, Metazoa, Chordata, Mammalia, Scandentia, Tupaiidae.